This 205-nucleotide unclassified non-coding RNA is filed under the name Hevea brasiliensis (rubber tree). The record is from RNAcentral. Lineage: Eukaryota; Viridiplantae; Streptophyta; Magnoliopsida; Malpighiales; Euphorbiaceae.
GUCAGGAAUUCAAAAUCAAGUGCUUGGGUGUUUCUUAAACCAUUCACCGUGGAGAUGUGGUGUGUCACAGCAGCAUCUUUUGUAAUGAUUGCCGUGGUUAUUUGGGUUCUUGAACAUCGAGUUAAUGAUGAUUUCAGGGGUCCUCCUAGAAAGCAGAUUGUGACAAUGUUCAUGUUCAGCUUCUCAACACUAUUCAAGGCAAAUC